Molecule: ribosomal RNA, 467 nt
Filed under: uncultured bacterium
Lineage: Bacteria
Description: bacterial SSU rRNA
Rfam family: Bacterial small subunit ribosomal RNA
Source: RNAcentral
UUCCAGACUCCUACGGGAGGCAGCAGUGAGGAAUAUUGGUCAAUGGUCGGGAGACUGAACCAGCCAAGCCGCGUGAGGGAUGAAGGUACAGAGUAUCGUAAACCUCUUUUGUCAGGGAACAAAGGCGGGGACGCGUCCCCGGAUGAGUGUACCUGAAGAAAAAGCAUCGGCUAACUCCGUGCCAGCAGCCGCGGUAAUACGGAGGAUGCGAGCGUUAUCCGGAUUUAUUGGGUUUAAAGGGUGCGUAGGCGGACAGUCAAGUCAGCGGUAAAAAUGCGGUGCUCAACGCCGUACAGCCGUUGAAACUGGCAGUCUUGAGUGGGCGAGAAGUAUGCGGAAUGCGUGGUGUAGCGGUGAAAUGCAUAGAUAUCACGCAGAACUCCGAUUGCGAAGGCAGCAUACCGGCGCCCAACUGACGCUGAAGCACGAAAGCGUGGGUAUCGAACAGGAUUAGAUACCCGGGUAGA